UACGGAGGAUCCGAGCGUUAUCCGGAUUUAUUGGGUUUAAAGGGUGCGUAGGCGGCCCAUUAAGUCAGGGGUGAAAUACGGUGGCUCAACCAUCGCAGUGCCUUUGAUACUGAUGGGCUUGAAUCCAUUUGAAGUGGGCGGAAUAAGACAAGUAGCGGUGAAAUGCAUAGAUAUGUCUUAGAACUCCGAUUGCGAAGGCAGCUCACCAAGCUGGUAUUGACGCUGAUGCACGAAAGCGUGGGGAUCGAACAGG
RNAcentral lists this ribosomal RNA (253 nucleotides) under uncultured bacterium. Its description in RNAcentral is "partial 16S ribosomal RNA". It matches the Rfam family "Bacterial small subunit ribosomal RNA", at positions 524 to 776 of the family's 1533-position model. The record is from RNAcentral.